Pan troglodytes (chimpanzee) is the source of this 2115-nucleotide long non-coding RNA. RefSeq lists it as uncharacterized. Lineage: Eukaryota; Metazoa; Chordata; Mammalia; Primates; Hominidae. The transcript has 2 exons. The record is from RefSeq and is a predicted model, not a curated record.
AGUGUCACAAUACAAUUCACAUUGUUAAAAAACUUACCCUUGCAUCUGUGAAGAAAAUAGAUGGCAACAGGACAAGAAUGGGAGCAGGUAGACCCUCCCAGUCCAGGCAAAUAUUACCAGUGGCUAAGAGUAAGGUAGUAUCAGUGAAGAAGUGAUCCUAUUAUUGAUAGAUCUUAAAGCAGAGUACACAAGACUUGCUGAUUAAUUAAAUGUUACGCGUGAGAGAAAUAUAAAAGUUAAGGAUGAAACCAAAGUUUUUAACCUAAACAACUCGGAGGAUGGAGGGGGAAACAGAGGAACCAGUUGCAAGCAAAAAGGCCUGAGAGAAUCUCAUUGACGCUUCCACCAUGAGAAGACAUGGUGAGAAAGCACCAUCCAUGAACCAGAAAGUGUAUCCCCUUACCAGACUCUGAAUCUGCCAGCGCCUUCACCCUGGAUGUUCUAGCCUCCAGAACUUCGAGAAAUAAAUUUCUGUUGCUUGUAAGCUACUCAGUCUGUGGCAUUUUGCUAUAGCAGCUCAAAUAGACUAAGACAUGUAGUUAACCUACAAUGAUGAGCUUCUGCUGCUCUAACAUCUUGUAUAUACCCGACUGCUCUGUUUCCAUACCUUUUGACAUAUACGGUAACUUUUCAUUUCAAUACCAAUUCAUGGUGUGAUCUUUAUGAAGAUACUUUAAAAAGCAAUGAAACAUCAUUCUAUGCUGUGCUAGGAAUAUACCUAACUCAGCUGAAGUGACAACAAAAAUAGCUAUGGCCAACAUCGCAUGUACCCAGGCAAUGACAACCAUGGCAAAACUGCUGCCUGACCAACAACUGCUAUAAGAUACCACUGACUGUAAGAAGCAUCCUACCUCAGAGAUAAUAAAGUACAGAGGGAAGUUCUACUUAGAAUUGAUGAAAUAUUUAUUCCCCCUUUAAGAGAUCACCAAUGCAUAUUAACAUAUUAAAGGUACAAGGAAGCCCUGCAGUAAAGAAACCCUCUUCCCUGCUUUAAGCCAAUAUUGGACCAGACAGCCCUCUUUACAAGUUAUACCUAUCAACAUGUUGGCAAAUUCAUAUCAACAUAUUCUACUGAAAUAGAAUCUAACAAAUCUGAGCAUAAUCAAGUAAUCACAGGGAAUUUUUUCAACCGCUUUAUAGUCAAGCAGCUAUAUAGUCAACCAGGAAGACUGACCCAAUUGUGGAAUCAAAGACAGAAAAGUAGCCCCCACAGAAAUCCUAGAGACUAAUGAUGAUAAGUCAAUAUCUCCAUAUUCUUAAAGAAGACACUUGCCGGCUGGGUGCGCUGGUUCACACCUGUAAUCCCAGCACUUUGGGAGGCUAAGGCAGGUGGAUCACCUGAGGUCAAGAGUUUGAGACCAGCCUGGCCAGUAUGGUGCAACUCCGUCUCUAAUAAAAAUACAAAAGUUAGCCAGGCAUGGUGGCGCAUGCCUGCAGUCCUAGCUGCUCGGGAGGCUGAGGCAGAAGAAUUGCUUGAACCCGGAAGGUGAAGGUUGCAGUGAGCCAAGACUGUGCCACUGCACUCCAGCCUGUGUGACAAAGCGAGACUCCAUCUCAAAAAGAAAAUACAAAAAUUAGCCAGUUGUGGUGGCAUGCACCUGUAGCCCCAGCUACUUGGGAGGCUGAGACAGGAGAAUUGCUUGAACCUGGGAGGCAGAAGUUGAAGUGAGCCAAGAUCAUGCCACUGCACUCCAGUCUGGGCAACAGAGCAAGAUUUCACCUCAAAAAAAAAAACGCACUUGCCUCGUCCCCAAGUCCAGAGUUUUUAUCACGAUAAGACUAACUCCUCAGAACUGGUCAAAUUCCAGUUUAAUAAACACUAUCGAGCCCUUGAUAUACAUUAAGUCCUGAGCUCAGCACCAGAGCUACGAAAUGCUUAUAGGACCUCUGUUUCAUCAUCCGCAAAAACGCAAUAAUAAUAAUAACACAAUAAUAAUAGUAUUACUGUAUGUAUGCAGUGAAGUACUGUAUGUACAGCACUUGAUAUAGUGCCCUGGCUUGGAGGGUUGCAAGUGUCAUUCCAGUGAGGAAGAUGGAAAGGAAAGGUAGGAAAUGCCGAAGAAGCACGAGCCAGUGGGAGCCAUGGGGGCCACUGUCAUUCCCCUGUCCCUUAUU